This 1068-nucleotide long non-coding RNA is filed under the name Mytilus galloprovincialis (Mediterranean mussel). The record is from RNAcentral. Lineage: Eukaryota; Metazoa; Mollusca; Bivalvia; Mytilida; Mytilidae.
GGAAAGUAUCCGAAAUUCUAUAUUACAAUUGUAUUGCUCAAAAAUACAAUAAAUGAGGCAAGUAAGCUUCCCAUCAGAUAUAACACAAAUGUACGAUAAUUACAAUCUAUUUUAAGCAUCAGCAACCACAAGUGGUGAAAAAAAAACACAUAUGAAAAUGCAUAAUACUAUAUAUUUCUACUUUGAUUUUAUGGGUCUAUGUUCAAAAAUUAAGAAAAAUCGAUGACAUAAUAUGAAAACUCAUUAGCAUUAAAAUACACCAACAGAUUUGACAUAAAACAAGUGAACUUUUAAAGAUCGUGUUCGAACAGCCUUUGAUGACUUAACAAUAUCCAUUGCGUGUACACAUAACACAAUUCGUGAUCGGGUAAAAUAAUGGUUAUGAUAACAUAAUAAGUCAGUGAAAGUCAAAUAUGCUUUGUCACAAUACAAAUGCAACAAAGCGACAAGGCCCUAUAAAAUUCGUUAGCUAGCUAUAAAAUCAGCUUUAACCCACAAUUUUUUAUAUCCGAAAUGCCUGUACCAAGCCAAGUUAGUAUUAUCACAGUUGUUAUCCGUUCGUUUGAUGUGUUUUAGCAUUUGACUUCGCCAUUUGUUUUUGGACUUUCCAUUUCAGUUUUUCUCGGAUUUUGGUAUUUUUGUUAUUUUACUUAUCAAUGUAGAAAUGCGCAUAUGGUGCAAAUUUAAUACCGUUAAUGUUAUUUUCGAAUUGGCAAUAACACCACAUAUCUAUUUUUUAGAUUCUAUAUACAUAUUUGCUUGAAGUGUUCUAGCUAUUUUCGAGAUAGAAACUGCACACCUUUCCAAAUAUCCCCUGAAAUCUUGUAAUUAAUAUUAAGAUUUGAGCGCAACACCUAGCAUAGAAUGUACUUGUCACAAGAUGUCUUUUACAGAUCAUGUUAAUGUUGAUAGCUCAUAUUAAAUUUUACCCAAAACUAUGCGUAAAAAUCGCAUGUUUAGAUCAGUGACAUUACAAACAACAUCUCUACACUCAAAGGAAAAUAAUCAUAGUUUUUAAAGGGUUGAUUGGAUUGCAUUGUCAUAAGUCAAACACAUAGUACUUUUAUC